RNAcentral lists this ribosomal RNA (253 nucleotides) under uncultured bacterium. RNAcentral's name for it is "partial 16S ribosomal RNA". It matches the Rfam family "Bacterial small subunit ribosomal RNA", at positions 524 to 776 of the family's 1533-position model. The record is from RNAcentral.
UACGUAGGGUGCGAGCGUUAAUCGGAAUUACUGGGCGUAAAGCGUGCGCAGGCGGUUUUGUAAGACAGCUGUGAAAUCCCCGGGCUUAACCUGGGAACUGCGGUUGUGACUGCAAGACUGGAGUCAGGCAGAGGGGGGUGGAAUUCCACGUGUAGCAGUGAAAUGCGUAGAGAUGUGGAGGAACACCGAUGGCGAAGGCAGCCCCCUGGGCUAUGACUGACGCUCAUGCACGAAAGCGUGGGGAGCAAACAGG